This 749-nucleotide ribosomal RNA is filed under the name uncultured Fusobacterium sp. Its description in RNAcentral is "bacterial SSU rRNA". It matches the Rfam family "Bacterial small subunit ribosomal RNA", at positions 28 to 776 of the family's 1533-position model. Lineage: Bacteria; Fusobacteriati; Fusobacteriota; Fusobacteriia; Fusobacteriales; Fusobacteriaceae. The record is from RNAcentral.
GAUGAACGCUGACAGAAUGCUUAACACAUGCAAGUCUACUUGAAUUUGGGUUUUUUAACUUCGAUUUGGGUGGCGGACGGGUGAGUAACGCGUAAAGAACUUGCCUCACAGCUAGGGACAACAUUUGGAAACGAAUGCUAAUACCUGAUAUUAUGAUUAUAGGGCAUCCUAGAAUUAUGAAAGCUAUAUGCGCUGUGAGAGAGCUUUGCGUCCCAUUAGCUAGUUGGAGAGGUAACGGCUCACCAAGGCGAUGAUGGGUAGCCGGCCUGAGAGGGUGAACGGCCACAAGGGGACUGAGACACGGCCCUUACUCCUACGGGAGGCAGCAGUGGGGAAUAUUGGACAUUGGACCGAGAGUCUGAUCCAGCAAUUCUGUGUGCACGAUGACGUUUUUCGGAAUGUAAAGUGCUUUCAGUUGGGAAGAAAAAAAUGACGGUACCAACAGAAGAAGUGACGGUAAAUACGUGCCAGCAGCCGCGGUAAAUACGUAUGUCACGAGCGUUAUCCGGGAUUUAUUUGGGCGUAAAGCGCGUCUUAGGUGGUUAUGUAAGUCUGAUGUGAAAAUGCAGGGCUCAACUCUGUUAUUGCGUUGGAAACUGUGUAACUAGGAGUACCUGGGAGAGGAAGGCGGAACUACAAGGUGUAGAAGGUGAAAUUCGGAAGAUAUUUUGUAGGAAUGCCGGUGGGGACGCCAGUUUACUUGGAAGAUAUUGACGCUUGAGGCGCGAAAAGCGGGGGUAGCAAAAAGG